RNAcentral lists this ribosomal RNA (1981 nucleotides) under Escherichia coli. RNAcentral describes it as "partial 23S ribosomal RNA". It matches the Rfam family "Bacterial large subunit ribosomal RNA", at positions 837 to 2798 of the family's 2925-position model. The record is from RNAcentral. Lineage: Bacteria; Pseudomonadati; Pseudomonadota; Gammaproteobacteria; Enterobacterales; Enterobacteriaceae.
ACCGGGAGAUAGCUGGUUCUCCCCGAAAGCUAUUUAGGUAGCGCCUCGUGAAUUCAUCUCCGGGGGUAGAGCACUGUUUCGGCAAGGGGGUCAUCCCGACUUACCAACCCGAUGCAAACUGCGAAUACCGGAGAAUGUUAUCACGGGAGACACACGGCGGGUGCUAACGUCCGUCGUGAAGAGGGAAACAACCCAGACCGCCAGCUAAGGUCCCAAAGUCAUGGUUAAGUGGGAAACGAUGUGGGAAGGCCCAGACAGCCAGGAUGUUGGCUUAGAAGCAGCCAUCAUUUAAAGAAAGCGUAAUAGCUCACUGGUCGAGUCGGCCUGCGCGGAAGAUGUAACGGGGCUAAACCAUGCACCGAAGCUGCGGCAGCGACGCUUAUGCGUUGUUGGGUAGGGGAGCGUUCUGUAAGCCUGUGAAGGUGUGCUGUGAGGCAUGCUGGAGGUAUCAGAAGUGCGAAUGCUGACAUAAGUAACGAUAAAGCGGGUGAAAAGCCCGCUCGCCGGAAGACCAAGGGUUCCUGUCCAACGUUAAUCGGGGCAGGGUGAGUCGACCCCUAAGGCGAGGCCGAAAGGCGUAGUCGAUGGGAAACAGGUUAAUAUUCCUGUACUUGGUGUUACUGCGAAGGGGGGACGGAGAAGGCUAUGUUGGCCGGGCGACGGUUGUCCCGGUUUAAGCGUGUAGGCUGGUUUUCCAGGCAAAUCCGGAAAAUCAAGGCUGAGGCGUGAUGACGAGGCACUACGGUGCUGAAGCAACAAAUGCCCUGCUUCCAGGAAAAGCCUCUAAGCAUCAGGUAACAUCAAAUCGUACCCCAAACCGACACAGGUGGUCAGGUAGAGAAUACCAAGGCGCUUGAGAGAACUCGGGUGAAGGAACUAGGCAAAAUGGUGCCGUAACUUCGGGAGAAGGCACGCUGAUAUGUAGGUGAGGUCCCUCGCGGAUGGAGCUGAAAUCAGUCGAAGAUACCAGCUGGCUGCAACUGUUUAUUAAAAACACAGCACUGUGCAAACACGAAAGUGGACGUAUACGGUGUGACGCCUGCCCGGUGCCGGAAGGUUAAUUGAUGGGGUUAGCGGUAACGCGAAGCUCUUGAUCGAAGCCCCGGUAAACGGCGGCCGUAACUAUAACGGUCCUAAGGUAGCGAAAUUCCUUGUCGGGUAAGUUCCGACCUGCACGAAUGGCGUAAUGAUGGCCAGGCUGUCUCCACCCGAGACUCAGUGAAAUUGAACUCGCUGUGAAGAUGCAGUGUACCCGCGGCAAGACGGAAAGACCCCGUGAACCUUUACUAUAGCUUGACACUGAACAUUGAGCCUUGAUGUGUAGGAUAGGUGGGAGGCUUUGAAGUGUGGACGCCAGUCUGCAUGGAGCCGACCUUGAAAUACCACCCUUUAAUGUUUGAUGUUCUAACGUUGACCCGUAAUCCGGGUUGCGGACAGUGUCUGGUGGGUAGUUUGACUGGGGCGGUCUCCUCCUAAAGAGUAACGGAGGAGCACGAAGGUUGGCUAAUCCUGGUCGGACAUCAGGAGGUUAGUGCAAUGGCAUAAGCCAGCUUGACUGCGAGCGUGACGGCGCGAGCAGGUGCGAAAGCAGGUCAUAGUGAUCCGGUGGUUCUGAAUGGAAGGGCCAUCGCUCAACGGAUAAAAGGUACUCCGGGGAUAACAGGCUGAUACCGCCCAAGAGUUCAUAUCGACGGCGGUGUUUGGCACCUCGAUGUCGGCUCAUCACAUCCUGGGGCUGAAGUAGGUCCCAAGGGUAUGGCUGUUCGCCAUUUAAAGUGGUACGCGAGCUGGGUUUAGAACGUCGUGAGACAGUUCGGUCCCUAUCUGCCGUGGGCGCUGGAGAACUGAGGGGGGCUGCUCCUAGUACGAGAGGACCGGAGUGGACGCAUCACUGGUGUUCGGGUUGUCAUGCCAAUGGCACUGCCCGGUAGCUAAAUGCGGAAGAGAUAAGUGCUGAAAGCAUCUAAGCACGAAACUUGCC